Xyrichtys novacula (pearly razorfish) is the source of this 25509-nucleotide non-coding RNA. NCBI's taxonomy places the organism in Eukaryota, Metazoa, Chordata, Actinopteri, Labriformes, Labridae. The record is from the annotation of a GenBank genome assembly.
UGCGACUUUCCAGGGGGAAACAAGACGCAUCCCGGAUGGAAGCGAGAAGACUGACACAACAGCAGACUGACUGUUUUUCAGUUCUGAUUAGACACUAGUGUUGAGAUGACUGUCUGUCAUGAUAGCAUGUACUGAGUCGGGGCCAGUACCAGAUAAACACAUUAAACUAUAAUCCAUAAACGUAAGGUAACAACAGAGACCUAAUGGUGCUGUGACAGCAACGCUGUGAUUGAGUUUGAGACAGUGAAAAUACAUAUGGUAUGUUGUAUCUGAACAGGUUAGCUUACGCGCUAAAGUUACUUAGCACAGAUGAAAGUUAAAACAAAGACGUUAGCAAACUGUUAAAGCACACAAACCAUCGUCAUAUGAGAAAUCCGACACUAUGACUCUCCACAAGUUGUCCUUCAGGUCGUUAUCCUUGUAAUAUUUGUGUCUUUUAUCAAAAAAAACUCUCCGACACAUAAACAAUCAGCCGGUCGGCCAUGUUGGAUAUACCAGUGAAUCAGACAUCGCAACAACACGCAAUCUGAUUAGUCAGAAGCGGACACACGGUAUGCAAAACUCAAGAAAAUUAGACCGUAAUGCGAAAAAAUAAAUGCCGCAGUAUCGCAGGACGGUAAAACGUCGCUGUUGUGGACGCUUGUGUUGACAGGAUAAAGGUUUGAAAAAAAUAAUUGACGUCCGAAAUAAUCGCAUGAAAAAAACACUCCCGGUAUGUAAGGACCUUGAGGGUGUAGGUGUUAGAUAUGCAGCUUAAGAACCAGUUCCAUUUUUACAAUUCUGGUGUGAAAUAUAUAUUUAUCAAAUGAUUGUUUUAGCCAUCAAGAGUUAGCAAGAUGAGAUAGUUUUAGGUAGAUUGUAGACUGUGGAUUGUUUUGUCCACAGGAGGCGCCACAAUUGACACAAACUUAAAACUACUUAAAAGCUUUAAAGAUUCUGGGCUAAGAGUGUAACUGGAGCAUAGUCUUAAAUCUUACGCUAAUGCCCACAACUGUGAAGAAAAAAAUUACUCACUUCAUACCCGUGAUGUGGUUGGGUGCAAAGGUGCCAUGUUGCUAUCUUAAGGUGCACUACUUUCUGGCCGUUCAUAGGCCAUGUUUGUGAGGUAGUUCGAUGGCCUUGGAAGGUGAAUAACCAAUGAAAACCAAGUCAUGUAUCUUGGUAUUUAAGUCCAAGACAGUAUCAUAUAUCAUAUUGUAUCAUGUCAUAUAUUAUCCUUCCCUAUUGUAUCAUAACGUAGUGUGAUAUAAGGUAUCACACCUCUGUUUUGUUGAGUAGUUUUCACAUGACUUUAACCCACAUCAAUUCAAGACAUCUUUACAUAAAUGGACAAUCAAUUGGUGAGAGACAGGAGCACAACAGCACAGUUAUGUUGGUUCUGGCCUCUGAUGCGUUUUUAACUGCACCUUUCAGAGACUUGCUCACAGGCCAAAGCCACAGUGUUGGGAGUCAAACCUUGAUGCGAAUCAAAUUGCAUCCCCGUCUACAGAAACAUAAAAAUGAGCAACUUAACCGCUAAUUCUUUUUUGAUGUGCAGUCAAUUCACAGGGAGGAAACUCUGCAGUUUAAGGUAAUUAUUGUAACUCAUUAUAACCAGCGGCAUCAAGUGUCGGUCUUAUAGGUCAAGUGGGUACAAUCUGGCGCCUGAGUGUUCGUGGAAGUUAAUAACUACAUUUGCAACAGCAGCGUGGGGAGGUCUUGGGUGCACAAGUGGAAGCGGUUUUCAUUGGCAGCUCAAAUUGAUCCCCUUCAUUUGAAACUCUGACUGAAGUCUCCCAGUUUCCUCUUAAAAUUUACGUUUGCAAUGGUACAAAUACAAAUUUGAUUACUCUCGAGACUGCUGCCGCUCAUUCGAAGCGCCGACGAGGCAAUGGUAGAAAUGAAAGCCGCUUUGAUUGUCAGUCAGGGAGAUUCCUCAAUUAAGACACGCAACAGGUGGGAAAACCAAAAUUGAUGUGACACACUUUCAUUGUUGCUUCCCCAGCUUGGCUGUCAGUUUGUAUCGCUGUCAGGUGUGGGUGACAGCCCACCAACUAAUCUGAAGAGUCAUUCAGACGGCAGUCAUUGGAGCUGGAUGUCUUCAUUGGUGUAGUUUUUGCGAGUGCUUCCUUUGAGUUACUAUCGUGGUUACUAAUGAGGGACCAAUGGUACCGGCCUCCCUGUAAUCAGUGCUCAUUGGACCAGGUUGAACCCAGCAGUUCAAAUGUUGUGCAGUUCGUUUGCUUGCAUGGUUGGUUAGAUGUGUAAUUGUAUUGAAAGUGGUGUCUAGUCAAAAGGGACGGUCAAAAAUCACGUUGUUUUAGCUCUGCGUGACACAGAGAUAGCAAGCAGAGGUCAAUAAACAAGGUUUUGAGAAAUCAUUGAUGAAUGAGCCAAUGAGGAUUCGCUUUGGUGUUUUUAGUUGUUUUAGCAGAUUUGUGUUUAAGCAGAUCACGAAACCAUCAUAUAAAUUAGAGUUAUUGUAUUCCACACUAAUGAGGCUUUUUCAAUCUCAUAAGAUACAAUCCUUGUCUGUGAUUACAGUCGAACAUAAAUGGUGAAAGAACUGUUCUGGCCAGGAUUGCACUCCCUGUGGCCCUGUUAUGGUGGACUUCUACCCGGUCCGUGUUCAGCCUUGAUCCUGUGCAGCUUCAUACCUCUUAAUUCAUCAACACCCACUUCGUUUUCAGAGUGCAGCGCGGCAGAGCACCAUCAGACAGCUGGGGUCACAAGACCAAGGAUUUCCUGCUUUACAUUCAGAAUCGGUGGUUUUCUAUCUCCAUGAUGAGCUCUGGAAACCUCUGACCCGUUGACUCCACGCCUGGCCCUGCUCAUUAGGAUGGUUUGUCGGUGUAGUUAAGCGAAACAUGAUCUGGCCUCUACACAGUGCGUUUAUUGUUUGUUUUUUACAGAGAAAAAAAAAAAAAUUCAAACAGUCUGUCAGUGUCUGACUUCUUCUAACUCUUGAUCUGCCCUUUGUUGAUUGAUGCAUCUUGGCAAAACCCGUCUGUAUCUACAGUGCAAAGAUUAGGAUUGCUGAUGCUGGAGUGAAGUGAAACACAAUGCAGCACAGCCACACAUUGAUAAAAAUGUCUAUGAUUUUAAAUAAAAUUAAAUUUUAUAUGAAAACUUCAAGAUGAUUUCUUUCAAUUCCUGCUGAUAUAACUCAUUAUCCAGCCUCUCUCAAGGUCCCUCCUUAGACCAGUGUAGCUCAGCCAACAUUUUCCACUUAAAUGCCCAGACAAAGCAGAUGCAAUAGACCGAGUCUGUAUGGCCUAUAAAAGCCUUUAUUUUCAUUUAGCCUCCACAAAUUACCUAUAAUUUUCUCCAGCAAAGUGGCGUGAAUUUGAAACCGGUUCGAUUCUGUUAGAUAUUUGGAAAUAAACUAUGAAAGCCUACAGAAAAGUAUAAGUAGAUUGCAAAGGGUUCAGUUUCAUCAAGUCCACAAAUUACCUAUGAAAGGCUCCAGAUUUCAUUUAAAGUCUGAAAAGACGUGUGGUGUUUUUUUAAAGGAUUUAGGUUUAUGAAGUAGCCACAAAAUACCUAAAAACCUCCUGAUUAAUUCUGUGAAUUCGUCAAAGGUGGGUGUUCAUUUGGUAUCCACAAUAAACUAUAAAAUGCACCAGAAAAGCGGUGUGAAACGAUUCAUUACACUUCCCAAAUUUACCAUUUAAGCUUUCAGAGAAGUGGUAGGAGCAGGUUUGGUUUCAUUUAGUGUCCACAAAAUACCCAUUAAAGUCUCAGGGAAAGUGGCGUUAAUUUGAGAAGCUUUUUUGGCACGACUAGAAACCAUGACUUCACAGUGGGAGGCAGCCUUAAAUUCCUUAUUCUGGUAAAUAAAUGGUUUAAUUUUAUUUAAAAGAUGAUGCUGGUCUUCAGUGAGAAUAAUUCAAGUCUGUAAGAAAUUUCCAAUUAGUGUAAAGUCAGUGUGCUGUUGUCGGAAGAGAAUUUAUAGCACUAAAAGUCCUUACACACCAGGCGCGAAUUUGCCAGGCGAAUUAUUCGCCUUUAUUUGCCUUUUUUUAAAACAGCAUAGGGUCAAUGCAAGCUUCCACACCGGCGGCGAUUUUUCCGUGGGGCGAAAAGUGUCUUAUUUUUUCGCUCUUGUGUCGAAUUUUUCGGGGAUUUGCAGGCGAAUAUCUGGACCUGCUAGACCUCUGGCCAAUCAGAAGUCAUGUUGUUGAUGACGUCACAGACCCAUGCGGCUGCAGUUCACACGACACACACCACCACUGGCACCAAGAGCAUCUAUGGGAAAGAGGCUGGUAAUUUAUACGCAUAUUCGCUUCGCGCCCGGUGUGUAUAGGCAAAGCGAUUUUUCGGACCGGCGAAUAUUUUCGCAUCUUCGUCUCGCUUUUUCGCUUUGUUCCGCAAAUUCGCUGGUGUGUAAGGACCUUUAGUCGGUAAGUUUACAUCACACUCGAGAAAACCAAAUCAUUGCCUUUCUCCGAUUAAGACCGGACAACUGAAGUGCAUGUAAACACCUUAGUUCGACUUUGAUCAGAGUUUGAGAACUUCAAAUGGGGUCGGUGAACUCCGAUUAAGACACCCAGAUUACGCGAUUGGAAUUCGAUUUUCUCUACCAUGUAACCAGCAUAGUCGGAGUAUGAUUGGACAAUGCGCAUGCACGUGCACCACGCCCCUAUAACCCCAGAACAAAAACACCAGAGAAGAGGAGUAGUGUGCACCUCAUCUGCAGAAAAAGUAGCGCAUACGUUAUGUUACGACAAAAACAACGCUGUAUGAUGCUUCAUCUUCUUGCUCAAAAAUGCCCAGCAGCAGUUGUAGACACUUUGACGUCUGGCACAGACCUGCUGUUGUUGUUGAAAGGUAUAUGGGGUCAACCAGAAACAGCACCACUGAAAAGACCCACAUCGCUCCCUAGUUUUCAGGAGAAGGACACGUUCACGUCAAUAAUUCGAUUUUCUCAGCAGCAUGUACACACGGACAAGGAGAGAAGUCAGAUUCGGCGAAAAAAAACAACAAAUUUUUAGCUUUGUCCGAUUAAGCUGUGCAUGUAAACACCCUGACUGACAUCUAGGGUAUCCUGGUUAAUGCGCAAGCAUUCGCACUUCUCAGGAGCUCCAGCUUGGUUGACAGAUUACAGCCAUUAUGUUCAUCUGGAUACCACGACUCUUGAUGAAUUCACUUUAAAAAGUUUUUUAAACUCUAAUGACAUUGAUUUUCUGCCGGAGCUGCCCAUAUUGACAGUUAAUACAUCACAGAACUGUGUUCAGCCAGUCAAAAGAAAAAAAGAAAAAAAAAACUUCAGAGCACUUCGCCAAUCCUGGAAACAAGCCAGUGUUCCCCAGCUGUGUCGAGACCUCUACUAAGUGCAGGGAGAGAAAAAAAAAAAAGACUGCAGAAGAGAAAAGAGAAAGAGGGUACAAGGAGGAUCGGAGGUGAAGUGUAAAAUCAUUAUAAUUAUGCUUUGAUAUUAAAUUACCAUGUAUAAUUGAAAUAGAGUUAGCGCCACAAUCUUCUCCCCUAAUAGCAGCUAUACUGCACGGUUCUGUUCCAUAACUUGCAAGUUAUUACCUGUCCUGCAUGGAAUUAGAAGUCACACUAUCAUUAUAAAACCCAUUUACCCAUCACUUUCUAUAUUAGAUCCAGGCUGCACACACACACACACUAUGGUUUUAAUUACAACCCAGUGCUUAAUUCUUCCUCUGUGUACUCUUAUGGGUAGCCAAUAAUUUCGUUAGAGAAGGAUAUAACUUACAGUGAUGCCGCUUGGACAUGCCUGAAAACGACUCAACUUUAUUAAUUGCUUAUAAUUGACACAAACAAUAACGCUGCAUUAUAACAAUGGAGGACGGUAAGGCAGAUAAUAAGAUUCCAGAUCUGAGAGUGUUAUUAAGUGAUGUGCUAAAACACAUUACUUAAUUAAACUUGCACUGCACUCUGGGAAGUUUUUCUAUUCCCUCAAGUUGUUUCAUGUGCUCAGCUGCAACUCAGUGCAAGCUUGGUGUUGUUGAUGAACAGCAGCCGCAACGGAGGAAAAGUCUAUCUCUAGGUUAGAGGCAUGACUCCGCAUAAAAAUGGCAUCCUAGAGAGGGAAAUAGUGUUCCUUGGGAAAGAAUUGCACUGACUCUGUAGUGCGAAUCAUCAAAUGAGAUCACAAAUAAUUAUGAGGUUUGUUGUCAGUGAACUCAGUAUGUUGCUUAAACUAAAGGUCCUAACACACCGGGAACGACACGAAAUUACGAAAUAUUCGGAGGCGAAUUUUGAAGCACAUUAAACUAUAAUACAUAAAUGUAAGGUAACAACCGAGACCUAAUGGUGCUGUGACAGCAACGUGAUUGAGUUUGAGACAGUGAAAAAUACAUAUGGUAUGUUGUAUCUGAACAGGUUAGCUUACGAGCUAAAGUUACUUAGCACAGAUGAAAGUUAAAACAAAGACGUUUAGCAAACUGUUAAAGCACACAAACCAUCGUCAUAUGAGAAAUCCGACGCUAUGACUCUCCACAAGUUGUCCUUCAGGUCGUUAUCUUUGUAAUAUUUGUUGGAUAUACCGUGAAUCUGAUGUCGCAACAACACGAAAUCUGAUUGGUCAGAAGUGGACUCAUAGUAUGCACAACUUUAGAAAAUUGAUACGAAAAAAGAAAAAGCCGCAAUAUCGAAGGACGGGAAACAUCGCUGAUGAGACCGUUUAUUGUGUAUUGACAGGAUACGGGUUCGAAAAAAAAUAUUGACAUCCAAAAUAAUCGCACGAAAAAAGGACCUUAAGAAUGCAGGUUAAAAGUAAAGCAUGCAUAGAUAAAACCACAACGACAUGAUCAUCACUUAACCCCGCCCCUUGCGUCUGAUUGGCCCAAUUCAUCCUUACCCCUCUUGUAAAGCUCCCCUGAAGUUUUUCUGAGCUGCUUCGCCUUAUUUUCUGACCUUGUCUUUGUCUCCUCUCCGACUUAAUUUUCUUUCUUGUUCCUCACUUUUGUACCGAAUCUAUUUGUGGCGAGUGAAAAACGAUUUGUUUGACAAAACCAUGACUGCUCCUGCUGUACUCAGAGCUUUGCUUUCUGUACCACACGGUGCAAACACAAGGUUAUACACAGCUGGGUAAAAGUCACUUCUUUUGACAGAUUUGCUCUUAUUGCUGUUAUAAAUGUUCAAUCCCAGUCCCCCUAUUUUGAGAUAAACUGCUGCCAUGAAAACUGGGAUUAUCAUAAACAUCAUAAUUACACACACUUUAAUUAUAACAUCCAUACAGUGCUGCGCACUUGUCCAGAGUCAUUUAUAGAAGCUGCCUGACCAGCUGCAAACUACAUUAUAGGCUCUGUGGUGCACUUUACAGUCAUAAGCACAAAUUUAACAGCGUGCAAGCAUUUUCCUUUUUGGGUGAAAAUAUUCCCUCCAGAUUGUCUGUAAUUUAAAGCCACUGUCCGGCUCCAUAAAUUCAGGCAAUUUAUUAUCCAAGAUUUUUAAGAGUAAAGGAGAACUUGUUAAUGCAAGCACUCUGUUCUCACACAGUCAUCAUUAUCAUUUAAACAUAUAACUCUAUUCAUCACAAAGAAAUACUUAAAAACUGUGUGUUAACCUGAAGGGUGUCACUGAAGACAAUCCAAAAGUACUAUUUGGUACUGGUGGCUCCUCUAGGACCUGAGUCCAUUUUAAAUGUACUUGGAUAAAGUGGAAAACUCUUUGAAAGAGUGGAGAGAUACACAGUUCAUAAUCCAGUAUUCAAUAUUGUUCUAGGGAUCAAAAAGUCUCAAUGGCAUGGAUGGUGCAAAUGUUCCCAUCGAGACAGAGCCUGUAUUUGUUUGGAAAUCCAGGAGACCUGCUUCUUUUUAGUUAAGACAGUGAGAUGUGGUUCCAUUUUUGCCCGGUAAAGGGUUCAUGCUCACCACUUAGGGGUCUCUUAUCUUGUAUUUUUCAUCUUGUCAUGCACUAAGAGUUUUGCGAUUAGAUUAGAUUAGAUUAGAUUAUUCAACUUUAUUGUCAUUAACCACAGUACAAGUACAUGAACAACGAAAUGCAGUUUAUUAUCUAAUAAGAAGUGCAAGGAAGUAAAGUGCAAGGUAUGUACAUAUGUGCAGUGCAGGUAUGACAUAUGUGUAUAUAUAUAUAUAUAUAUAUAUAUAUAUGUAUACACAUAUAUGAUUGAGAAGCACUGUGGUUCUAUGUGAGGAAAAGGCAUUGCCACUGCAUUUGGUGGACACAGGCCCUAAAGCUUAGAUUAAAAUGUUAUGUAAGAACAAAACAACAUGCCACUUGAAAAUUGGAUUUUAUUUAUUUAUUUGUCAUAUUUCAAAGCUAUGGUUCUGCCUGAUUCUUUCUUGGGAAAAGAUGCAUUUCUUGCAUGUGUUCUGAUACUUAUGACAAUGUGAUGCUGAAACGACAAAUGAUUAAGUAUCUCCUUGUUAGUGAAACCUAGCUACAGAAGUUCAAUUCAUCUAAACGCUCCACAGCGCUCAUUUAAACAACUAACAACAGGUUGGAAUAGCUACUAGCUACGACUUUAUUCUCGUAAUAAAAUCAUUACGAGAAUAAAGUCGUAGCUAGUAGCUAUUCCAACCUGUUGUUAGAACUUUAUUCUUGUAAAUAAUGAUUCAUUACAACUUAAUUUUCGUAAGAAAUGAUUUUAUUACGACUUUAUUCUCGUAAUUAUUUUAUUAUGACUUUAUUCUCGUAAGUAAUGGUUUUAUUUCAACUAUUUUCGUAAGAAAUGAUUUUAUUACGACUUUAUUCUUGUAAGUUAUUAUUUUAUUACAACUUUAUUCUAGUAAUUAAUGAUUUUAUUAUGACUUUAUUUCCAUAAAAAUUGAUUUUAUUACAACUUUAUUCUCGUAAAUAAUUAUUUAUUACGACUUUAUUUCCAUAAGAACUGAGUUUAUUACGACUUUAUUCUUGUAAUUAUUUUGUUAUGACUUUAUUCUCGUAAGUAAUUCUGAGGUCUAAAAUUUUCUCUUUUCUUAAUGUGGCUCUAAUGCUCCGUUGUACAAAGCCAAGACAAUAUUUUACAAAUAAAAAGUCUUUUUUUUUUUUUUUUUUAAUCCUAUAGGACUUUUUAUAGCUUGACUUUUAAAGACUUAAAUCAUGAUUAUAUAUGUACCAUCCUCUUAAGGAUGGUAUUCAGUAGUUACACAGUACACUCUGAAUUUGCUAUAGUUAAUUAAUUUUCAAAAAAAAAUAUACAUAUAUGUUGAGUUAUCAGAAUAAACACUGAUUUGCUUCCAGGCUAUCAGUGCAUUGGUACAUGUAUCAUUUACAGGACCAUCAGUGUCACUGACUGAAAUGCAAUAAGACUAUAAAUAGACGGCAAACUGUAUGUACCGUGGUUGACAUGAGCAGACAUCCCUAGUUACUAUGAGUGACAUGCAGGCUGAUUGUUGGGAAUACAGUCACAUGUUCAUGUACUCUACUGGGUGGACUUGAUUCAUUCUUAAAAUAUCCUCUCCAUGGCAUGAAGCUCUUCGAGGUGAACAUUUUUCCACACACAGUUUGAAUCACUGUGACCAUGAUUUAGAUUGAGUGUUGAAGUAGCUCUAUAGGUGAAGAAUAUGCUGUUUUCAUUUCUUACUUUGUACUGUGUGGACUUUGUAUGAAGAACUUUAAAUAACUUCCUGUUUCAUUGGCGGAAAGCACAGUCUGACAAUCUACCAUAUACUCAGUGUGAGCAAUAACACUUUAUGAGAUCUGAAGGCUCUUCUUGUGGCAUGUGUUUAACAUAUAAAAAGACAUAUCACAGAGAUGCACAUAGGAUUUCAUCAUGGUGGUAUGAGGGUUUUUUUUAUAGGUCUAUGCCUAGAGAUUAUCAUGCAUGUAGGUGAAAUAUUGAGGAUAUCUCACCAGACCUGAUGCAUGUGUGAAUUUCGUUGAGUUUGGAGGCAUGUUAAGGACCUGAAUUUGGGAUGAUAAUUCCUUGCAUUCCUAUAGGGUCUCUUUUUUUUUUGCUUUACAUUUGCUCAAAUUGCCUCAAUUGAUAUUGAGUUACUGUGUUAAGAUUCCUUUCCUCUGCUUCAGGCGGUGACACUGAUGCCGUGCACUGUGAGUUAAUAACUAUAUAUGAUCCCAUGUUAUUGAAUUGAUUUCUGUUGGACAGCAUAAAUAAUAAAGAUGAAAUCAAUAUUUGACACUCUAUAUAUCCCAUAUAUACAUUGCGUAUCCAUUAUUUCCCAGGGUCCCACCAGAGGGAUCACGAACUUCAGUCAAGCGCAGCCUCACUUGACAGACGAGUUCGUAAGCUGGGGUGUCAAUCAUGCCUCCAGGUGAUGCCUUUUGCAGGAAAAAUAACAAAUUAGCAUCUGUCAGAGGUUGUCAAGCAGAGGGCCACGACAUUAGGUCAAACAGCUGCCGGGGAUUUGAUUAAAGCUGCUGCCAAGUUGACACGGAAUAAAAACUCUGAAAAUAGACUGCUCCUUAAUUAGAAAUGCAUUAGCAGCAGAUCACUUCUAACCAGAAUGGUGACAAAACAAUUUGUACACCACUGAUGGAAUUAUUAUUUUUUUAUUCCGUUUCAGCUACAGUAUUUAUUACAAUUGCUUGAAAUCUGAAUAACAAAAGCAGAACUCUCUCAUUCUCUCUCAGCUUUCAAAGUGCACAUAAUUACCGGUUUUGCAAUGCGACUUGCAGAGACGUCCUUGUGCUGCUUGGAAUAAUAACCGAGACCAAUUUCAGGGAUAAAGUUUCUCAGAGAAUGUGGAGCAUUCUUUAUAAAGAUAGAGACGAUAACAGCCUGAUUUAUGAGCCGGUAUGAUCCCAUAAGUGAAACUUAGAAGUCACACACAACAGAGAAGACUCCAGAAGUGACAGACAGGUAUAGUAGUUGCAUGCAAGAGCACAUCCUUGUCACCAUCCCCUCAUAUUUUCUAUCAAAUCCAUAUUUACCCCUUCAGAUGGGGAGCAGACGCCAUGACUUAUCAGGGUCCUGGCUGAAGGCGAUGUUUAUGGUGAAUGAUGUCAGGGGCCCAUGCUUGGCUGGUCACUCCGAGCGCCUCCUCUUUUCGGUUCUUCUCUGUGUCUGUGAUCUGGGGUCAUUAUUGGAACUGUCAGCGUGCAAUUUCAAACAGAAAAAUUGCAGUUGUUGGCAGACAAGCAAAUGGAGUGUCCUGCCACUAAGUCGAGGGAUCAAUAUGAUUUUUUGUGCAUGCAGCGGCGAGUGUAGUGACUAAAUGAACACUGCUUGAUUUGCAGUGUAUUUAUUUUAUUUUAUGAAGCCUUCAAGUGAUUUGUGGCCCACAGUUAGUCAUAUUCAAUUUUCUGCCGUGCUUGAACUUUCUCAGGUUGUUUCCCAAGACCUUGAACUGCGAUUUCAGCCUGACCAUCUUCCAAACAUUGCAAGGGCAUGCAUCCUUGGACAUAAUUUGACAUUUAAAUUUGUACCACUAGUUCCCAGAGGUGUUUAAAAGUUUAUGUACUUGCCUGCCAAACAAUCUGUGCUUAUGGUAAUGAAAAACAGCUAAUGCCAAGCAUAUAGUAUGGGCUUAGUACACUGAGUGCUGGGAACAUGAUGGUGUUUUAAAAAAUGUAUAAAAAUAGGCACAACUGGUGCCAAAAUUGCCCUGAGUGGACACAGGCCUUCAAAAUUGCUGUACUUGGACACAGGCCCUGAAAACUGCCCUCAGUGUACGCAGGCCCUAAAAGUUGCCCUUAGUUCACACAGGCCCUUAAUGUUGCCAUCUGUGGACAUGGGCCCUUAAAGUUGCUGUCAGUGUACACAGGCCCAAAAAAUUUCCGUCAGUGCACACAGACCCUAAAAGUUGCCCUCGGUGUACACAGGCCCUUAUAGUUGCCAUCAGAAGACAUAGGCCCUAAAUGUUGCCAUCAGUGGACACAGGCCCAAAAAGAUGCCCUUAGUGCACACAGGCCCUAAAAGUUGCCAUCAGAGGACACAGGCCCUAAAAGUUGCCCUCAAUGCACACAGGUCCUAAAAGUUUCUAUCAGUGCACAUAGGCCCUAAAAAAAGUUGCCCUCAGAGGACACAGGCCCUUAAAGUUGCCAUCAGUAGACACAGGCCCUAAAAGUUGCCCCAAGUGCACACAGGCCCUAAAAGUUUCCCCCAGUGCAAACAGGCACUAGCAUUGCCUUCAGUGCACACAGGCCCUAAAAGUUGCCAUCAGUGGACUCAGGCUCUAAUGAGAAUCAUACGGGUACAGUGGCAUUGAGCUAGUGGUGCUGUUUGCAAUCAACAAAGGUAAUUGUUUCCAUGACUAUCAAUACAGAGGAAAAUUUAAAAAAGUUUCUGUGUAGCUUCGAAAUGAGAGAAGUUCUUACCUUAACUCUAUGGAAAUUAACCAGUGGGAUGAAAGAGUUGGUGCAGUGAUACAAAAACCACAAAUGAUUGGACAGGAUAUGGGAAAAUAAAAUAUGAAAGAUGCACAAAUGAAAAUUAACCACCUCACUGAGCCGCUGUUUUAAAACGAAGCUCUCAAAGAACACUGACUAAGACUCCCAAACGAAAACACAAUGGCAGCCGGGGAUGUCUUAAAAGAGAUACACAAAAGCCUGGGGCAGAAGAGGUCCAGCACUAACUGACUGUACCCGGAGAGAAACGUGUAAUGGUGAGGAAAUCAUGCAGACAGGUUCCCCAAAUACCAAUUAAGAGCAAAGACAGAAUGAACUACUCAUUAGUGAUGUGUCGGUCAUGAACGAACAGAUCAAAAGAACUAGUUCUUUUUGGUGAACGAAAUGAACGAGGUCACCCCCCCUAAAUGAUCCGUUCAGUCCGUUCAGUUCUUUUGAUUGGCUGAAGAGUCAGUUCACCGUUCCUUAGGGUGGGACUAUCUCCGUGCUUGCCUGUCUUAUCCUAUCAUCGUGCCUCGCUCUGUGGGUGGGUGGGGCUUAGAGAAGCAGCAGCAGUACUGAGCUGACUGUAAUGUGCUGUAAUGUGCUAGCCUAGCUAUAUAGCUUGGUUUAGCUGGGUCAACAUGCCGGUUUUUCGGUGUAAAAAUUGACCCCGUUACCUGGAAACUUGCGCAUGAGAUUGUCCCAAGUCGCACAGCUGUUGAAUACAUAUUCUUAGAUCUCUCUGUGUUUUGAAUGUCAGCAAAGACGUAUCUGUUGGAAAUACUUGAUGUUAUUGUCACAAAGGGAGCUAAGAGGCUCUCGUUCGUUCAGAGUCUGAACAGAUCUCCCCCUGCAUAAACCCGGUCAGCCGUGUCGAGUCAGUCCGUUCGCUCACAUUCGUUCAGACGCUGAACGAACGUGAACAUGAGCGAACGGACUGACUAACGACCAAUUGACCGAAAUGACUGAAAUUAACGAAUCUUUUUACUGAACGAACCGGAAUGGUCCGGUUCACUGAAAUGAAUGGUUUUGCCCACCACUACUACUCAUACAGCAGUUACCAGGAAACGUAAUGUGAUUCAAAUUAGACUCAUUCAAGGUAAUCUUAUGCUCUGUCAGAGAAAGACUUCAUUUAAAAUUACACUUUUGAUUCAUUUCAUACAUAUAAUAACACGAAUAUUGAAGCCUUCCAGUGAGUGGUGCCAUAUUGUGCUGUAGCAAGCAGCAGCUGUGACGAGAGUGAAUGUGAUCAAUACCAGCAUCCAAAGAGAUUUAAAGGAUAGUUACAUCAAGGUCUUCUUUUUGUUGUAGUUUAUACUGCAGUGUUCAGAUGCUGAGGAGGAACAUAUCACACUGAGGCAUGACCUUUAAAGGUUUGGUAAAGCACUUUAAAGCACUCAUUUUCAAAGGACUCUUUGGUGAAAGACAGGAAAAAGGUAGCAUUAAUGUUUUCUAAAACUUAUCCAAAAAAGAAACUCAGACAUUUCUAGCAAGGAUAACCAGAUCCAGUUAUUAAAAGAUAGGACCUAAAAACCAUCAUUGAUGUUGCUGAUUGGCUUGUUUGGAUUCGGAUCAUCUUAAACGACAUAAAUGUGACUUUUAAUUAGGGCCCCACCGAUUUAUCGGUGAGCUGAAUAAAUCAGCCAAUUUUAGCCCAAUUGAGACUAAUCAGUAAUCAGCUAAAACUCGAUGAUUUUCACCGAUAUUUUCAGAAAUAAAAUGUGGAAAAUAAGAUUUGGUUGCACUUCGAAAAUGUUCCGCCAUUUGAACAGUUGCCCGACUUAUCCUGUAGAUGGCGCAGCGACCUCAUGACAAUCUUCAUCCACUAACUACCUCACAGCACAGCAGAGUGACGGAUCUGAAGCAGGCAGCUCAGGGACGCACGGAGGAGAGUGGUCCACCUCAACGGUAAAUAAACUAGCUUGUGAAAUACACAAUAAGUCAACAAGUUUCAGUUCAACUCACUUCACGAUGUUCCCCGCUGUGCUGGUCUUGGUCACGCCGAGUUAACGGUGAAGCACCAUGUAAUAUGCAAGCUAACGUUAGAGUUAGCCACCUGCUAUUAGCCUUGCUACACUGUUAGCCGCGCUAGUAACGGUAGAAUAAACAACAGUACACAUUACAUGAUUGAGCUACUUCUCUUACUGAGGCAGCUGAAUGUCUCCAGAUGAGACCAGACCGGAAAUGAGUAACGUGAGUUAAGACGCGGAGGCACCGCAUCAGAGGCAUCGGGUAGUUGACGCUUUUCUGGUCCGAGUUUGAUCAGUCGGUCUUCUUGUCGGCGUGAAGAGCAGUAGCCUACAGUAUAUCUACAGUAUAAAGUAAACUGUAGAUAUCUACAGUAUAUAUAUAUAUAUAAUUUUUUUUUUUUUUAAUAACUUCAAAAAAAAUUGAAAAGAUCCGCUGAUUAAUCGGUAAUCCGAAUUUUUUCCCCCUAAUAAUUGGUAUCGGCAUCGGCCCCAAAAAAUCCAUAUCGGUCAGGCCUUUAUCAAUAUGACUUUCAAUCAAAGUUUGGCACUCUUUUUGGGAAACCAUGGACCCCAGACUCGCUUUUUUAACCACACUGAUCGUCAGCAUUUUCGGGGUUACCUCAGUCUACAUUACCACUGGACUUAUGGGAGCUGUUCUCUGUUUGUAAUACAUUGCUAUACGGUCCUGUGGUACUUUUCCUAUCUGCUUCCCUCUGUAAACCACUUAUAAAGAUAAAUAAUGAGGACAAAAUCUAGGAAUCCAGCCAGACUGAUCCUCUAAGAUAAAUUGAAUCAGAUAUUCAGACGCUUUAUCAGAGCCACUAAGGAGAUAACACAAAUCUGCGCAAAGCAGAGCUGCAGAGGAACAAUAAAUAAAGACACGGGGCUUGCUUUCUUAUCAGCCCCUUCACUUUCAGGUUACAUUUCAAGUCUACAAAUGACACAAUGUGCAUGUGGUAUGCUAAUAAAUACGUGCAUUGCUCUGCAGUGAUUCAUAACAGCAGACUUUUUGGACCCUUUGUGGUGAAUUAACAAAAAAGUGCAUUAGCAGGCAUUCAUUAUGCAAAGCAAUGGCUCAGAAAUAAUGUGCAAAAUUACUAGGACUGUGCAAUCCAUUAUUGUCAUUUAUUUCCACACUGGGUGAACAAAAAGGGAGAAGAAUGGGAGAGAUAUAAGAUGGAACAAGCCGGGCCUGUUUUUAGCAGGCACAUGGAAAGACACUCACUCGCACACAUACGCACACCUUUAAGCUGUCUUUCCAUGAAUGUCUUUUAAGCCGCAUGUCACAUCAUGUCACUUUUAUGCAAAAGAAGUGCCUCACUGUUGUGUGAUCUGAUGUGCUGAGUGUGUACGCACACGCACUCGCUGUACGCAAGUGCGCGUACGUGCUCGCCUUCAGUUGAUUCAGCGUUCACAUUUGUUCGCUGUCAUUUAUUAGCAGAACCAGACUGCUGCCUCAACCUCCUGGAGGCAAUGAGAGCUAUUUAAAGAAAUCAGAGCCACACCAAGUCUCUAAAUGAAGACAGGGGCGAAUGAGGGCGAGACGAGGGGAGGAGGGGGGAGAAAAAAAAAGGGGGAACAGAAAGAAGUGUUGAAGGAGCGAAAAUGACAAGGCGGGCGAGGGGGGAGAAAAGGAGAGGAAAUUACAGAAGUCUGGAGAGAACGGGGAGAGAGGAGAUGAGGAAGGGGCGUGAGGGUGAGCCGCAGAGUGCUGUCAAGACAAAAAAGGUGCAAAGGGUCAUGGAAGGGAGAGAUGGAAAUUUGAAAGGAUGGGAGGCGAGCUAGCAGAGUGAGCAAGCAUGGUUUGAAGGAGAGGAGGAAGUAAACAAGUCUUACUUUGAACUUAAGGCAGAGACAUGCGAAGGAGAAUGAUGGAGAGAGGAGAGAGAAUGGAGAGCAGAGGAAUAAAGAAGAAAGAUACAGACAAUGAAUAUUGAUGCACAUGUUUUGUGCACAGAAAUAAAGAUUGGUGGUGAGUGGCUGAUGAGUGGCAGCCAAGAAAGGUAGACAAAAAGGGAAAAACAUGUAGAAACAAGAGAGGAAUGUUAAAAGCAUCAACCAAAUCGAAGAAAACAGACAUGAAGCAACCACAAACCUCAACAUAUGGAUUUGAUUGGAUUACAGGACUGACAUGACUUUAAGUGCUGUUGUUAUAGUCCGUUAUUGUUAAGGAUGCUAACAGGAAAGGACGCCAAUUUUUUUAAUGUAACUGCGACUUUUGUACCAGUUGGAAAAGAAAGAAGAAGAAAGUAUGGCAUACAGUAGUUGGUUGUCUCAGGAAACCAUUGAUGUCAUUGGAUGGCCCAGUGAUUGGCUCAGCCACAAUCCCCUGGCCAAAAACCAUAGCUGUAUGUCUUCCCCAAUCUCUCCUCCCCAUAUUUCAUGUCUUUUCAGCUGUCCUUUCUAAUAAGGUUGAAAAUAUCAGAGAAAAAAUAACUUUAAAAAUGUAGGGGCUCCUUUACAGUACUCGGCUCGUAUUUCACCGACUUCUGGGGUAAUUAAAUCAAAUGGUCUGCUGAAGCCUGAACCCCAAGUGGACUGUCUGGAAGUCAGCAGAAAGUCAACAUGAGACCUCGGGAAGACCUGAUGAAUUGUGGGUUUUGACAGCCCUCAGCACUCACAGACUUAACAGUGAAUGUGUCUCCAGAGUGUCACAGUUUGCCAGAGUUUGAAGUAUGCACAUUCAGUUCAUCCUCAGAGUUACUCAUGAGCAAAGUUUAAACUCCUAGGAAAGAAUCUGGACCACUGACAUUAGCGAAGGGAAUCAUAUACGCAUAUAAAUCUUGGUAAUCUUAAAUCUCGUACUAAAAGGACUUAAUUGUCAAAAUCUUAGUGUUUUUCUAAAUGUGAUCAUGAUGUAAGUUAGAGGAUAUUACUGUAAAUCUAAGAGACCAAAGCAGUUUUACAGCUCAUUUCAAAGUAAAAUAUAUGUAUAUUGAUCUCAUAAAUCUUAAAAAUCUUAAAACUUGUACUUAAAGGGCUUUAUUGACAAAAUCUUUGUUUUUUCUAAUUGUGACCGUGCUGUAAUAAACGAGAUAUUACUGUAAAUCUAAGAGACCAAAGCAGUUUUACAGCUCAUUUCAAAGUAAAAUAUAUGUAUAUUGAUCUCAUAAAUCUUAAAAAUCUUAAAACUUGUACUUAAAAGGCUUUAUUGACAAAAUCUUUGUUUUUUCUAAAUGUGAGUCUGUGAUGAUUUAUACGGUAUAUUACUGUAAAUCUAAGAGACCAAAGCAGUUUUACAGCUCAUUUCAAAGUAAAUUUUAUAUUAAUAAAUCUUAUUAAUCUUAAAUCUUGUACUAAAAUGACUUUAUUGUCAAAAUCUUAAUGUUUUUUCUAAAUGUGACAGUGAAGUAAUUUACGGGAUUUUACUGUAUAUCUAAGAGACCGAAGCAGUGUUACAGCUCAUUUCAAAGCAAAUUUUUUAUAUAUAAAUAUAUAUCUUGUAAAUCUUAUAAAUCUUAAAUAUUGUACUAAAAGGACUUUAUUGUCAAAAUUUGAAUGUGUUUCUAAAAGUAACUGUUAUGUAAUAUACAAGAUAUUACUGUAAAUCUAAGAGACCCAAGCUGUUUUACAGCUCAUUUCAAAGUAAAAUACAUACAUAUAUAUUAAUCAUUUAAAUCUUAUAAAUCCUUAAUCUUGUACUAAAAGGACAUAAUUGUCAAAAUCUUAAGGUUUUUUUUUUUUCCCUAAAUGUGACCAUGAUGAUUUACGGGAUGUUACUGUAAAUCAAAGAGACCAAAGCAGUUUUAACUAAUUUCAAAGUCAAAUAUAUAUAUAAAUAUAUAAAUACAUAUAAAUAUUAAUCUUACAAUUCCUUUAUUUUGUACAAAAAAGACUUUAUUGUCAAAAUCAAUUUUUUUUUAAAAUGUGAGCGUGAUGAUUUAUACGGUAUAUUACUGUAAAUCUAAGAGACCAAAACAGUUUUACAGCUCAUUCCAAAGUAACCACGCAGGUUUGAACAUCUGUACUUAUGAAGAGCUCAUUCACACAAUAACGCCCAAAGGAACAUGGGUGAAGGUACUGAAUCUAAUGAUAGUUCAUUUAACGCUUAAAGGCAUAUUCCGGCAUUUUAUGCUAAAGCACUGAUGUGAUGCUAAUGAAUGUGCUGCAGAUACUAUGGGUGCUAUGGAGAGGAAAAAAGGGGGUAAUUAGUACGGUAAAGGUUUAUUCAGUUUCACGCGUCAAGCACUUUUAGGGGAAAGUGCUUGACACCCCAUAAUAAGUGUAGAGAGUCUCAUUGCAUCAAUUGGUCAUGAGAUAUUUCAGUCUGUUACCAAGCAAUAGACCAAUAUAUUUUACUCUUGCGGUAUGCUACUAGCAUGGGUACAAACAGAAAUGUCAACUUAUGUUCCCUCUGAUUUUUUAUGUGUUUAAUGAAAAAAACUCGCCUCACAGAGGUUCAAAGCGUUCAAGCUUGUUAGAGAUAGUACCUUUGAAGCGUAACCCAAAGCACAAUACAAAAAUUUGGCUUGUUUUUGCUCUGUGGCAACACCCCCCUGUUUGUUUGCUGUUGUCGGAAACUGCUGUUUCACAGCUAAUGCGGCCUUUGUCAGCAACAAACAAAACCCCCAGCAAGAGAAAAAUUGGGUCCUCUUUUUUUUUUUCUGUUUGAACUACAGCAGCAAUUAAGCCAUGUCUGCUUCUUAUUAAAGAGAAUUCAAAUGAUGGUUUGCCUCACUGCCCUCAGAUAUAAUAUGAUUCCUCUGGCUCCAUAUUACCAGCAGGAUGAGAAAUUACCCCCAGUGUCUGCAAUCUAAAGAAAAGUUUGAGGAAAGUAUUAAGUUUUUUGAAUUAUCACGGGAGGGGGGGAUUGAAUUUAAGCUGCAAUUUAAUUUUUUUUUAAACAUUUGAGAUAAUGUAAAUAAUUCCUGUUCAGCCUGUGAUUUCUUCUGCUUUAAUUCAUUGUAAAUUAAUACUGCUACAAGUCAAAAAGAGGAACUAAACUGCUCGAACUCAACUCUUUGGAGAACUGGUGAUUAAAUCUCCUCCUUUUGAUUACUCUGUACUCAAAGUUAAAGGAAAAUACUGAACCUUUGAACUUAGAUACUUUGCCGCUCGAUCCAGUUAUUUGUAUAGAUAUGUACAAUGAAAGCUGAGCAAAAGUUCAGGGCUGGUGCUGAAAUUACAGUUUAUUCAGUGUACUUGCUGUCGUAUUAAGAAUCUUGUUUAAAAAAUCUAUAACUAGACUGCCAUUCAAGCAGUCUUAAAACCAAGACAUGAAGGUUCAAGAAAAAGUGUUUUUGCACAUGUCAGCCUCAGAAAAUAUCAGCCUGUGAGAACAUAGGGGACUCGGCAUGCUCUUAAGUCAUGAAUGGAGGAGAAAUCGCAAAAGAGUAAUUGAGGUAAAGUGAAAGUAUUAAGGUCCUUACACAUCUGGAACGAUGCAAAUAUAUGACGCGAAAUCAUGAAAUCGCAAAUUUUGACGUGCCUGACUGUACACAUCAAGCUCAAUGCGAUUUUUCGACUUUCCGGGGGGAAAAAGACGCAUCCCGGGUGGAAGUGAGAAGACUGACACAACAGCAGACUGACUGUUUUUCAGUUCUAAUUAGACACUAGUGUUGAGAUGUCUGUCUGUCAUGAUAGCAUGGACUGAGUCGGGGCCAGUACCAGAUAAGCACAUUAAACUAUAAUCCAUAAACGUAAGGUAACAACCAAGACCUAAUGGUGCUGUGACAGCAACACGAUUGAGUUUGAGACAGUGAAAAUACAUAUGGUAUGUUGUAUCUGAACAGGUUAGCUUACGAGCUAAAGUUACUUAGCACAGAUGAAAGUUAAAACAAAGACGUUUAGCAAACUGUUAAAGCACACAAACCAUCGUCAUAUGAGAAAUCCAACGCUAUGACUCUCUACAAGUUGUCCUUCAGGUCGUUAUCUUUGUAAUAUUUGUGUCUUUUAUCAAAAAGUACUCUCUUCUCCGACACGUAAACAAUCAGCUUGUCGGCCAUGUUGGAUAUACCGGUUAAUUAGAUGUCGCAACAACACGAAAUCUGAUUGGUCAGAAGUGGACAUAGUAUGUGAAACUUAAGAAAAUUCGACUGUGAUAUGAAAAAAUAAAUGCCGCAAUUUCGCAGGACGGGAAAAUGUCACUGAUGUGAACGCUUGUAUUGACAGGAUACGGGAUCAAAAAAAAGUAUUGACGUCCGAGUCACAUGAAAAAACACUCCCGGUAUGUAAGAAACUUCAGGGUAAUUUAUUUGGGGGAGUAAUUUUCUAACAAUAAUAUAGUCAAACAUUUUAUAAUAAUUUAACAAUAACUUCAUUCUCAUUAAAAAAGAAUAGGUAAAUUGUUUUACUAAACAUAUUUUUGGUAAGAAAAUAGCUGAAGAUAAAAUCAGUAAUUCUGUAUUGUGAGCCAAUACUCUGUUGAAGACACUGACUGUCACAUCAGAGACAAUUAGUCUGCCGUGUGACCCUGUUAUUAAGUUCAUACACCCUAUAAUGAUCAGCGGGGUUACCAGAGGAUGUGGGUAUGCUGCUUGAUAGCUUGAUAUUAACGCUGAUAUUAACAUUUGCAGAACAACAUGCAGAUUUAGGCCUAAAUCCAGGAUCUGUUUUUAAUGUUAAUAUAUUUUUUUAGAAAAGCUUAACCCCCAGAAUCACUCUUGUAUAUGUGUGGCAAACAGCCUGUUCAGUUUAGAACAUUUUACACGUUUAUUGUACAUGUGUAUUAGUUUUAACUUACAGUAGAUCACACACUACCUUUACUUUUCCUAUAAAGAAUCAAUAGUGACGCUUGUCAUUCAAGAACUGAUAGUUUAAGGUUUGAUUUUGGGUAAAACUCACAAAGAAAGAGUAAAAGAGAAAACAAACGGCUUAUGUGAGUUGUUGCUGUCAGGUCGCAAACACGCUCCCAUCUGAAGCCGGCUUUAAUGAGGGGGUGGUGAAAAAGAGGAGGGAAUGGGAGCCUAUGAUGGGCUAUUUUCAGACCAAAUGGACCGUGCACAAGCUUUUGUUGACAUUUAAGGAGGAAAAUUAACCUUAAUUUUCCCAUUACUCCAUCAUCUUUAAAGUGGGAAUCACAGUUACUGAUCCAUGGCCUUGAAAGGACACUAUAUGAUCCAGAUCUGGUGUCAAAUUGAAUUGCAUGUCGAUGGAAACUCAUCCUAAAAAUUACUAAGAUUUCCAAAACACAGGUGUGAUACGAUAUUUACUGUAUAUUCACAAAAAUAUGAAGAGAAUCGCAGUAGCUGCGCACUCUGUGAGAAAAAUAGAUGGGAAAUAACAGUUAAAAGCUACUAAAAUGAAAUAUCUGAUACAAUAAAAGCCUCGCUCAACAGAGAUAUUGUGAAAAUUGCAAUAAAGCGAAUUUAUAAAAGGAGGAGAAUGGUUAUACCGGUGCUGGUUGAUUGUGUAAAAAAAUUGCUAAAGCAGACUCAAUAAGAACUGCUCUUAAAAAAUCAUCGUAUUGGUCAAUAAAGUGAGGAAAGAAAGUGGAAUUGAAAUUGACUGUCUCUCAUACUCAUAAUCAGAACCAGAAUGAUCUACUACAAUUUAUAAGCAACCUGUGAUCCGGUGUUAUCCCAGCCGUAGUUACAGUUCAGGCUGUAGCAGACGACAGUCGAUAUAAUGAAAAGAAAUUAACUUAAUCUGCCUCUAUUGUGUUACCAACAAUCCAAUGCAAGUAUGUCAAAUCAACAGGAGCUGAAGCGGGGAGAGAAGUGGAGCAGGAACACAGGAAGUAACCGGAGAGUUAAGAGAUGGAGCACAAACAAACUCAAACAGGGGAAUAUACAAGUUGAUACUGAGAGUCGAGGAGAUCAAUAUAACAAAAGGUGAGUCAGGGGCUGACUCAGUCGAGAGAAUAUACUGUUGAAUUAAAAAGAAAGUCAGGAAAGAGCUGCAAAAUAGAACAAAAAAAUACAUUGACUGAUAUAUUGACUGAUAUUAAAAGCUUUUUUGUAUAUACACCACAAAAAAAGAUGCUUUAUUAACGGAAUCCUGCCUACCCCACCUUUAACUUUAACUUUUUAUUUGUAUCCAUUGCCAAUCAGUUAUUUAUCUGUGACCUUUAUGAAACCAGUGGUAUUAUUUCGAGGCUUUAACAGAUUACAAUAAUCAAGCAAUCUUGGCAUCAAAUCAACAUAAUCAGCUUUAUUAGAUUAUACAUAACACCAUGUAAUCAUGUUGGACCCAACAGUCAUUUAAAGUACAAAAGGAGAAGCAGAGAAAGUGUCGCAAAAGGUUCACAAACAAACUGAGGCCGGUAGAGUAUUAAAAUUAAGACUCCAAGCAAAGGAAAUCAAUAAACCGAGGGAGGGUCAGGGGAUUAGUGAAGGGCCACUGACACAGUCUCUGGGAGGAAACCCUUGAACAAUUAGGGAAAUGAGGGUGAAAUUGCAAAAAGGAACAAAGAAGUAGCUCAAACUGGAGUCUUGCUAAAAUUAAGUUCCCCUGACAGAGAGUUCUGCUUUCACAGGACCACUCAUGAGUGGAGUUUGCAUAAUUUUAGCCAGGAGUUGCCACUUACCCUGACAUGAGAAUAAACUGUAUGCACUUCUUAUACACACAAAACUGCUAACCUCCCUCUGGGAGUUGUUUUGGUAAUAAAAAAUAAUGACUUAAAGCUCAUCUGGGAACUUUUUUAACACUUAAAAAAGAAACAGAAAUUUAUGUUAAUGCCUUUUGAUGACACACAGAGGCAAACAUGACCAUCGGGAACAAACUUUAUGCAUUUUAAACUGGAAUUUUCAACACCUAAAACCAGUGAGAGGGGAUAGGUGUAAGUGAAGCUUCUAAAUAGAUAGUCGUGUUUUAACAUUUCUAAUAUUAAUUAUUCACAAAAAGUGAUGAAUUUGACCGGCAAAAAUUAGUAGGAUUAAGUUUUGGUAACACUUUACAAUAACCAUAAUUUAUAAAUGGUAAAUAGAUAGUUUAUUAAUGUUUAAUCAUCAUUUAAAAUCAGCAUAUAGACCAAUUAUAAAUGGCAAAUAAAUAUGUUAUUCAUCUAAGUUAAUAUUUUCUUGAUCAUUAACAAGCAUUAAAAUUAUGAUUAAUAAUUUUCACUAAUUGUUAAUGCAAUAUUGAUUAAAGGUUUAUAUAGGGUUUAAAUAUUAGUUGUAAAACAUCUAGAUUAACACGUGUGUCAGUAGCACUUUAUAAAUGGUGAAUAUUUGGUUUUUAAACCAUCUACAAACAUUACUUAGAUGGUUAUUUUAAAGUUGCAACUGAUCUUUGUAAUACUUUGUAAAUGAUUAACAAGUGGUUUAUGAACCACCAUUAAACUUUACUUAGAUGGUUAUUGUAAAGUUAGGGUUAGGGUUAGGUUUAGGUUUUUAAAAUUGUAAAAUUUACAAUUUAUUAAUGGUCUAUGUCCUAUUUAUAAAUGAUGAUUAAACAUGAAUAAACUAUCUGCUUACCAUUUAUAAAUGGUCUAUUUACCAUUUAUAAGUCAGGGUUAUUGUAAAGUGUUACCUAAGUUUUUGUUAAAUGAUACUCCUGUAGCCAACAGGGGGCGCCAAAACUAACAUAAACCAAAAUGUCCUUAUUGGAGCUUUAAGAAUGGUUGAUCUGUAUGUCGCAUAGAAAGGUAGUAAAAGUAGACAUUUCAGCUUGAUUUAGGAACAGUUUCACAAAUCCCACCAGGAGCUUUAAACUGGUCUUGAUUUUAAUUUUUUGUAAAAAUUCAAUCACCUUAAAAAAUGUUUAAUGUUAUAAAAAAACACACGUUUUUAUAAGUGUCUUAUGAGGAAUCUGUGUCAGGGUCUUUAUCUGUUAUCUAUCGCCCUUAGAGAGAUGAACCACAAUACCCAAUUUUGACGAACUGCCAGGGAAGAUCUCAGUGUGUGAGUCUCUUUACUAACACACCAACACAUUCUGCAAAAUAGAGACUUUGGCCCCAAUCAGAGUCCCCUAGUUUUGUGAGCGCUGUCCCAAUUCUGACAAAAUGAGGUGGAUAUUUAAUUUCUCUUUUGAAUUGGUCAGUCCAGAGUGCGUAUCAAAUACAGCUGCGCCCGAAGCAGAUAGGGCAACAACUUCUUUAUUCAGACCGUAAAUGAAUUUCAGGCCCAUGUGGCCCCAGCGUGCAGCAGUCGACACUGAAUGCGAAGGCCUCUUUUCAGCCGCUAAUUGAAAGGCUCAAAUGCUAUUCUCAGUCAUUUCACUGCACUUGAAGUCACACAAAGCCUUGUUAUAACAUAAUUAAUACACAUUGGAGGCAUCAUUAGGAGUUUAAUUUCAUCCAUCUGCCUGCUGGUGAUUGCAUAGAGCAGCCCUUGGAAUAAUGAACAUUUUGGGUGAAUGAGAUACAUAAUACUUUGAUAAUAUUGUCCCCCCAUUUUCACUUAUUAGCAUAUCGCACAAUGCCGUAAAACACAUUGCGAGAUAAAGCCCAAGUGAAGUUUGGAGUCCUCCUCAAAAUGAUAUCAAGUGCUAAAGGGUGGGAUACAAAGAGGACACACACAAACACAACCUUCAACAAACCGCCGAUCCCCCCCGAAACAAGUGGCAGUAAUAGGACAGGAUACGAGGAUUACUGGGACAAUCUUGAAGGGUUUUUAUUUUAAAACGGCACUCAUGGGGCCGGCCAGCUGAGAGUUAGGCAGGGAUUACAGGAGUCCACUGGAUUUGUCCAAAAAGGAUUACCCACUUAGGGGGUUACACUGACACUGUUGACAAUUGUUUGGGAUUCCUCCUCUGUUUGUUCUUCAGUGUUUUAAAGCUAAACCAGAAUUACUGGCAAUUUCCACUGCAACCGGAACAGUUACGAAAAGGCCGUAUUCGCCAAUUGUAACUGAUCGUAACCAUUCAAGUUAAUGUGUCAAUUUCUACUGGCUUCUUUCCGUUUCGCUGCAGAUCGCUGGACUUCUCAGCUGAUCGUAAGAGUUCUAUUUUUUCCGAAUGCCAGAGCACGCCGCAUAAAUUCAGCACAGAUUAGGGUCCUUAUGAAAUAUUCGGAGGCAAAUUUUUACGCGAUUGACUAUCCACAUCAAGCCCAAUGCAAAUUUGGGACUAUCCGUGGGGGGAAAGACGCAUCCCGGGGAAGACUUUUCCCGGGGAAAGUCCCGCCUCCUUCGCUUCUGAUUGGCUAGAAAAGCUGGAAAUGUCAUCACAUGCUCAAGCCAAACAGUCAGCACUUAAAGCCAAUCAGAGGCGAUAAGAUAAGCACAUGAAACUAUGGUAACAACCGUUUGCUUACACUAGCACAGAUGAAAGUUAAAACAAAGACGUUUAGCAAACUGUUAAAGCUCACAAACCAUCGUCAUAUGAGAAAUCCGACACUAUGACUCUCCACAAGUUCUCCUUCAGGUCGUUAUCUUUGUAAUAUUUGUGUCUUUUAUCAAAAAGCACUCUGUUCUCCAACACGUAAACAAUCAGCCGGUCGGCCAUGUUGGAUAUA